AAUAUUGGACAAUGGGCGAAAGCCUGAUCCAGCCAUGCGCCGUGUGGGAAAAAGGUCUUCGGAUGUUAAAGCCCUUUAAGAGGGGAGGAAGGGUUAUAGAUUAUUACUCUGCACUAUUGACGUUACCAACAGAAAAAGCACCGCCUACCUUCUUGCCAGCAGCCGCGGUAAUACGAAGGGUGCAAGCGUAAAUCGGAAUUACUGGGCGUAAAGCGCGCGUAGGUGGUUCAGUAAGAUGGGUGUGAAAUCCCCGGGCUUAACCUGGGAACUGCUUUCAUAACUGCUGGGCUAGAGUACGGUAGAGGGUAGUGGAAUUUCCUGUGUAGCGGUGAAAUGCGUAGAUAUAGGAAGGAACACCAGUGGCGAAGGCGACCACCUGGGCUAAUACUGACACUGAGGUGCGAAAGCGUGGGGAGCAAAC
Molecule: ribosomal RNA, 421 nt
Filed under: uncultured bacterium
Lineage: Bacteria
Description: partial 16S ribosomal RNA
Rfam family: Bacterial small subunit ribosomal RNA
Source: RNAcentral